Molecule: small nuclear RNA, 106 nt
Organism: Vulpes vulpes (red fox)
Lineage: Eukaryota; Metazoa; Chordata; Mammalia; Carnivora; Canidae
Source: Ensembl
GGGCCCCCUUGGCAGCACAAACAAGAAAACUGGAACAAUCCAGGCCAGAUUAGCAUGGCCCCUGAGCAAGGAUGACAGGUGGAUUCAUGAAGCAUGCCAUGUUUUU